Molecule: long non-coding RNA, 2264 nt
Filed under: Cricetulus griseus (Chinese hamster)
Lineage: Eukaryota; Metazoa; Chordata; Mammalia; Rodentia; Cricetidae
Description: lncRNA (ENSCGRG00015032889.1)
Source: RNAcentral
ACAGCUUGAGCUGCUUUCUGUUCCAAGUUGCAGAGAGCGUCGUGGAGCCUUUUUCAAAAAGCAGGUCAGCUACUCACAGCAGUUCCUGCAACCUCGGCUGCCAUGAUCUUUUUUAUUAAUUUAGCCAGUUCGUUGAGAUUCGUGGCAGGAUUUGAGCCUCAUACGAGACCCUUCUCCUGGCCUUUGUGGAGGAGUUACCAGGCUUCAGAAAUCCUCUCAUUAAAGAAGAUGCUGGAAGGAGGGUGAGCAGACUUCUUCCUCUGCAGGAGACCCAGCUAGAGGGCAUGGGAACGAGAGGGAGCACCAGGCUUGGAGGGGCAGGAGGAAGGUCUAGGGACUGCUCACCACAGACACCAAGAGGGUGACAUCUGGGGCUGAAAGUCAGAAGGAAGCAAUUGCCCUAGAGGUUCCAAGAACAUGUUCCCUGUGGGAAAAGGCCAAGGAAGCUCCGGCUGCACAUCCAGGCUCUUUCUGCUGAACCCACCAGGUUUCUUGGAAGAGCUAGGCCUUAAGCAAGACUGGGAAAUAUAUGUGGCAAACAAGGAAGAGGAGGAAUCCACUUCAGACAAAAAUGGGGCUGAUGAGAUGGCUCAUCAGAUAAAGGAACCUGCCGCCAAGACUGAAGACCUGAGUUCUAUGCCCAGGACUGAUGGAAAGAAGAAGCCCUUAAGUUGUCCUUUGACCUCUACAUGUGUACCAUGGUGCAUAUACCCCCCCGCCACAAACACCCACACCCAUACCCCAAACAAAUACAAAUGUAAUUUUAAAAAUUUAAAGAUCUCUUCUAGUACUAGGUAGGGUUAGGGGCUGAAUCCCACAUUCCAUCUGGAGUUUUUUGGUUUUUGUUGUUGUUGUUGUUGUUGUUGUUGUUGUUGUUGUUUUCAAGGCAGUGUUUCUCUGUGGCUUUGGAGGCUAUCCAGGAACUAGCUCUUGUAGACCAGGCUGGUCUCGAACUCACAGAGAUCCACCUGCCUCUGCCUCCCAAGUACUGGGAUUAAAGGCGUGUGCCACCACCACCCAGUUUCAUCUGGAGCUCUUGUGACUCCAAAUUCUCAAUUCACACUUGACCUUCAGGAAGUCAUGAAGAUGUCUGUCAAGUCAGGAGAAGAGAUUGAAGACUUUGCUUGUUUGAUGACUUAACUUUUAAACACUUGGAUAUAUGGAAGCUGGCCUUGACUGGACUCUUCUCUGUGCUUCAAAAUGUCCCUGGGUGAGUUUAUGGUCCCUAGUCCAUUGAUGCCUUGUUCUCACUUAUAUCACGAUUAAGCCGAGCCUUGUCUCUGAAGAGCUCCACUCUUUCCCAGCAGGCCUGCAGGUGCAAUAGACAGACUUAAUGGGUGGCAAAGCCAAUGGACUCAAGGCCUUGGUGAAUUCCAAGAUCAUGAGGGAGCAGAAAGGUUGAAUCAUGGGAAGACUAGAAGAAAGGAUGUGUGAUAGGUAGGGUUUUAGUUGAGGGGGGGUGGUAGGGGAGGACAGGAGGGAGAAGGGAACUGGGAUUGUCAUGUAAAACAAUCUUGUUUCUAAUUUAAAUAAAAAAACAAUCUGAAGAAAAAAAAAAUCCCUUACCCCCAGCCAGGCCCGGUGGGCCAUCUGAUAGCCCUGCAUUCUCCCAAAUAUGUAUCUCGAGAUUUGGGAUCCUCUAGAGCAGUGGUUCUCAGCCUUUCUAAUGCUGCAACCCUGUAGUAAAGUUCCUCAUGUUGUGGUGACCCCCAAUCAUAAAAUUAUUUCAUUGCUAUUUCAUUACUAUCAUUUUGAUAAUGUUAUGAAUUGUAAACAUCUGUGUUUUCUGAUGGUCUUAGGCGACCUCUGUGAAAGGGUUACUCAAUCCCCAAAGGGGUCACAACACACAUAUUGAGAACUGCUGCUCUGUGGGCACACAGGUCAUGCCUUACAGAGAGGCAGGGUAGGUUUCUGAGUGACUGAAGAACCUGGAAAAACCCUGUAGUUUUCCAAAAUAAUGGAUCCCUACCAUGUCCCCUGCUUCUGAGCUGAGGCCUGAAACACCUCUACAGGCAUCAAAGUCUCUUGCUCCUUUUAGCUCUCUUGAACCUACCCUGCUGUCACCAUACUCCACCAAACUGCAGCAGGCUCUAGAGUGCAGGGAGCAGGGAGCAGGGGAGUAUAGAAGGCUAUAAUGAUACAACAGCAAGACUUUUCAGACUUCUACACUGAAGUAGUUUCCAGAAUAUCCAGCAGACUGACAGGGAGGUCCUGCAUUGACGGGAGGGAGGCAAGGAGAGAGAGAGAGAGAGAGAGAGAGAGAG